RNAcentral lists this unclassified non-coding RNA (337 nucleotides) under uncultured Agaricomycetes. RNAcentral's name for it is "sequence contains ITS1". The stretch from base 1 to 106 matches the Rfam family "5.8S ribosomal RNA", at positions 41 to 154 of the family's 154-position model. The record is from RNAcentral. Lineage: Eukaryota; Fungi; Basidiomycota; Agaricomycetes.
GAACGCGCGAAACGUAAUGUGAAUUGCAGAAUUCAGUGAAUCAUCGAAUCUUUGAACGCAUCUUGCGCUCCUUGGUAUUCCGAGGAGCAUGCCUGUUUGAGUGUCAUAAAGUCUCUCAAUGAAUGAUUUUGUGAUCUUUCAUUGGAUGUGGAUGGUGUUGUUGACAUGGCGUUUCACAACUCAUCUGAAAUGAAUUAGCUUGGGUCCACCUUGGGGUCUCUUAUGUUAGUGUGAUAAUGCUUUUUGAUCACUUCAUUGGCCUUGUGUGUGACUGCUUCUAAUACCCCACCUUAUGUCAUUUGACCUCAAAUCAGGUAGGACUACCCGCUGAACUUAA